Long non-coding RNA from Symphalangus syndactylus (siamang), 1267 nucleotides. RefSeq lists it as uncharacterized. The record is from RefSeq and is a predicted model, not a curated record. Lineage: Eukaryota; Metazoa; Chordata; Mammalia; Primates; Hylobatidae.
AAAAGGCCCAUUUGAUGGAUAGGAUUGGCCUUUUCCACGCCAGACAUCGUGCCAAAGCUUUCCCUACCUGAAACCACUUAACUCUGAAAAAAGAUAUGAUUAUCUCCAUUUUUCAGAGGAGGAAACUGAGGCUCAAUAAAGUGGACUUUUAUGCAAAGAGCACCCAAGGAGGAUUAUAGACAUGAAUCAUUGAAUGAGACCCAGUGUCUGCUCCCAGCACCAUCUGUUGAUAUGCAGAUCACCGAUGAUCAUUGAUCAGGACAAACCAGCUGUGGCUGCUGUGAAGUUAACUCCUGAGACUUGGGAGGCUGGUCUCACUUCUAUAUGGGCACACCUGACCCGAGGCCAUGAACUUUGGCAGGCCAGCAUCAUACCUACCUCACAUAUUCUAGCAACGACAAGCAAAACUAACCAAGCUAACGAAAAUGAGCUUGCUUCCACUUGUUUCUUUCCCUCAGAAAAAGUGGGCGGGGGAUGGUUGACUGAUGGGUUUGUACUUGAUUGAGCUGUUCAAGUCCCUGAUUAGUUCAUACUCCUAAAGAGCUGGGUUCCAUCAUUCUCUAUCAAUUCCUGGCAUUAAAAGAUGAUCCAGGCCGGGCGCGGUGGCUCACGCUUGUAAUCCCAGCACUUUGGGAGGCCGAGGCGGGCGGAUCACGAGGUCAGGAGAUCGAGACCACGGUGAAACCCCGUCUCUACUAAAAAAUACAAAAAAUUAGCCGGGCGCGGUGGCGGGCGCCUGUAGUCCCAGCUACUCGGAGGCUGAGGCAGGAGAAUGGCGUGAACCCGGGAGGCGGAACUUGCAGUGAGCCGAGAUUGCGCCACUGCACUCCAGCCCGGGCGACAGAGCGAGACUCUGUCUCAACAAAAAAAAAAAAAAAAAAAAAAAAAAAAAAAAAGAUGAUCCAGUAAUAUUUUGGUAACUAGUCUUUUCUGUCGGAAAUCAUCACUCAUUGGCCAUUCUAAGUUCUACUCCAAUUGAAAAGCUUGAUCCCACUUUGGGAGGCCAAGGGGGGCGGAUCACUGAAGUCAGGAGUUUGAGACCAGCCUGGCCAACAUGGUGAAACCUGUCUCUACUAAAACUACAAAAAUUAGCCGGGCAUGGUGGUGGAUGUCUGUAAUCUCAGCUACUCAGGAGACUGAGACAGGAUAAUCGCUUGAACCCAGGAGAAGGAGGUUGCAGUGAGCCGAGGUCCCACCACUGCACUCCAGCGUGGGCACCAGAGUGAGACUCCGUCUCAAAAAAUAAAGAAAGAAAAGCUAUCCUAAA